CAUGCAGUCUCAGUACAGACUAUAUUAAAGUGAAACCGCAAAGGCUCAGUAAACCAGUUUUAAUUUACUAGAGUUAACUUGACUGUGCUUGGAUAACUGUGGUAAUUCUAGAGCUAAUACAUGCAACCAAGCCGUGACCAUUCGUGGUCAGGGCGCUUUUGUUAGACCAAGACCAAUCGCCCGGCCAGUCCGGGCGUUAAGUUGAGGAACCUAGAUAACACAGCAGAUCGCAUGGUCUCCGUACCGGCGACUUAUCUUUCAAAUGCCUGACUUAUCAACUGACGAUGGUAGACUCUGUGUCUACCAUGGCUGUUACGGGUAACGGGGAAUCAGGGUUCGAUUCCGGAGAGGGAGCCUGAGAAACGGCUACCACAUCCAAGGAAGGCAGCAGGCACGCAAAUUACCCACUCCCGGAACGGGGAGGUAGUGACAAAAAAUAACGAUACGGGACUCGAUAUGAGGCCUCGUAAUCGGAAUGAGUACACUCUAAAUCCUUUAACAAAAAUCUAUUGGAGGGCAAGUCUGGUGCCAGCAGCCGCGGUAAUUCCAGCUCCAAUAGCGUAUAUUAAAGUUGUUGCGGUUAAAAAGCUCGUAGUUGGUUCUGCGUCCCGCGCUGUCGGUACACCGUUUGUCGGUGACACUGGCAUGACGCGGGAUGUCCUGUCGGUGGCGGCGGAAACCAUAUCGCCGUCGGAUAACACCGCGGCGUGUUGGCCUUCUGUCGCCGGCUAUAUCCUACCGCGGUGCUCUUCACUGAGUGUCGAGGUAGGCCGACACGUUUACUUUGAACAAAUUAGAGUGCUUAAAGCAGGCAAAAAUCUCUGCCAGAAUAGUGGUGCAUGGAAUAAUGGAACAGGACCUUGGUUCUAUUCUGUUGGUCUCCGGAACACAAGGUAAUGAUCAAUGUGGACAGGCGGGGGCAUUCGUAUUGCGGCGUUAGAGGUGAAAUUCUUGGAUCGUCGCAAGACGCAUUAGAGCGAAAGCAAUUGCCAAGUAUGUCUUGAGCUUUCCCCGGGAAACCAAAGCUUUUGGGUUCCGGGGGAAGUAUGGUUGCAAAGCUGAAACUUAAAGGAAUUGACGGAAGGGCACCACCAGAAGUGGAGCCUGCGGCUUAAUUUGACUCAACACGGGAAACCUCACCAGGUCAGGACAUUGGAAUGAUUGACAGAUUGAUAGCUCUUUCUUGAUUCAGUGGGUAGUGGUGCAUGGCCGUUCUUAGUUGGUGGAUCGAUUUGUCUGGUUAAUUCCGAUAACGAACGAGACUCUAGCCUAUUAACUAGACGCGUUUGGUAUCGAAUCUACCGGCGAACAAUAUUCUUCUUAAGGGGACAGGCGGCUUUUAGCCGCACGAGAUUGAGCAAUAACAGGUCUGUGAUGCCCUUAGAUGUCCUGGGCCGCACGCGCGCUACACUGAAGGAAUCAGCGUGUGCGUUCCCUUGGCCGAAAGGUCCGGGUAACCCGCUGAACCUCCUUCGUGCUAGGAAUUGGGGCUUGCAAUUGUUCCCCAUGAACGAGGAAUUCCCAGUAAGCGCGAGUCAUAAGCUCGCGUUGAUUACGUCCCUGCCCUUUGUACACACCGCCCGUCGCUACUACCGAUUGAAUGAUUUAGUGAGGUCUUCGGACUGGCGGUAAGCCCAACCGACUUUGUCGGUUUUGUCGAACGCUGGAAAGAUGACCAAACUUGAUCAUUUAGAGGAAGUAAAAGUCGUAACAAGGUUUCCGUA
Molecule: ribosomal RNA, 1724 nt
Filed under: Cimex lectularius (bed bug)
Lineage: Eukaryota; Metazoa; Arthropoda; Insecta; Hemiptera; Cimicidae
Description: SSU rRNA
Rfam family: Eukaryotic small subunit ribosomal RNA
Source: RNAcentral